RNAcentral lists this ribosomal RNA (255 nucleotides) under Duganella lactea. RNAcentral describes it as "partial 16S ribosomal RNA". It matches the Rfam family "Bacterial small subunit ribosomal RNA", at positions 54 to 311 of the family's 1533-position model. The record is from RNAcentral. Lineage: Bacteria; Pseudomonadati; Pseudomonadota; Betaproteobacteria; Burkholderiales; Oxalobacteraceae.
CAUGCAAGUCGAACGGCAGCACGGAGCUUGCUCUGGUGGCGAGUGGCGAACGGGUGAGUAAUAUAUCGGAACGUACCCAGGAGUGGGGGAUAACGUAGCGAAAGUUACGCUAAUACCGCAUACGUCCUAAGGGAGAAAGUGGGGGAUCGCAAGACCUCAUGCUCAUGGAGCGGCCGAUAUCUGAUUAGCUAGUUGGUGGGGUAAAGGCCUACCAAGGCAUCGAUCAGUAGCUGGUCUGAGAGGACGACCAGCCAC